UGGUUCUGGCAUCGAUGAAGAACGCAGCGAAAUGCGAUAAGUAAUGCGAAUUGCAGAAUCCGUGAGUCAUCGAAUCUUUGAACGCACAUUGCGCCCUUUGGUAUUCCGAAGGGCAUGCCUGUUCGAGCGUCAUUAUCACCACUCAAGCCCGGCUUGCUGUUGGUGGCAGCGUAACCGGUCAACCGGUCACGCUCCGCCCAAAGAUAAUGACGGCGUCUGUGAGGACUCCUGUACACUGAGCUUUCGGGCACGUACACGGCUAGAAGUCCAGGCGCCGGUCGACGUCCUUUUAGGACACUUUUUACCAAGGUUGACCUCGGAUCAGGUAGGGAUACCCGCUGA
RNAcentral lists this unclassified non-coding RNA (342 nucleotides) under uncultured fungus. RNAcentral's name for it is "partial contains 5.8S ribosomal RNA and internal transcribed spacer 2". The stretch from base 1 to 132 matches the Rfam family "5.8S ribosomal RNA", at positions 22 to 154 of the family's 154-position model. The record is from RNAcentral. Lineage: Eukaryota; Fungi.